CCAGCACCCGCGGUAAUUCCAGCUCCAAUAGCGUAUAUUAAAGUUGUUGCAGUUAAAAAGCUCGUAGUUGGAUUUGUGGUGGUUUCUGAGGUCCACUUUUGGUACCUUCGGAGAUUGCCAUCCUUGGGUGGAAUCUGUGUGGCAUUAGGUUGUUGUGCAGGGGAUGCCCAUCGUUUACUGUGAAAAAAUCAGCGCGUUCAAAGCAGGCUUAUGCCGUUGAAUGUAUUAGCAUGGAAUAAUAAGAUAGGACCUUGGUACUAUUUUGUUGGUUUGCGCACCGAGGUAAUGAUUAAUAGGGACAGUUGGGGGUAUUCGUAUUCCAUUGUCAGAGGUGAAAUUAUUGGAUUUCUGGAAGACGAACUACUGCGAAAGCAUUUACCAAGGAUGUUUUCAUUAAUCAAGAACGAAAGU
Molecule: ribosomal RNA, 411 nt
Filed under: uncultured Cymbellales
Lineage: Eukaryota; Bacillariophyta; Bacillariophyceae; Cymbellales
Description: SSU rRNA
Rfam family: Eukaryotic small subunit ribosomal RNA
Source: RNAcentral